RNAcentral lists this unclassified non-coding RNA (221 nucleotides) under Hevea brasiliensis (rubber tree). Lineage: Eukaryota; Viridiplantae; Streptophyta; Magnoliopsida; Malpighiales; Euphorbiaceae. The record is from RNAcentral.
AGCUUUCCUGCCAACUUGUCUAGAGAGGCGUACUACCUACAGCUGCAACAAGACCAAUGGACACUACGUGUUGCUCACUAUACUCCAUGGCUAACCUACUGGUGGAACACGCAGAAAUGGUUCCCUGCAUCAGCUGUUGCUGCCAGAAGGCCNGCUGCCAGAAGGCCUGAGGUUUUCUCUCGACAAGAUCUGGAACUUCUUUCCACAGUUGCUGGGAGUCA